RNAcentral lists this ribosomal RNA (492 nucleotides) under uncultured bacterium. RNAcentral's name for it is "partial 16S ribosomal RNA". It matches the Rfam family "Bacterial small subunit ribosomal RNA", at positions 29 to 507 of the family's 1533-position model. The record is from RNAcentral.
AGUGAACGCUGGCGGUAGGCCUAACACAUGCAAGUCGAACGGCAGCACAGUAAGAGCUUGCUCUUACGGGUGGCGAGUGGCGGACGGGUGAGGAAUGCAUCGGAAUCUACUUUUUCGUGGGGGAUAACGUAGGGAAACUUACGCUAAUACCGCAUACGACCUACGGGUGAAAGCAGGGGAUCUUCGGACCUUGCGCGAUUGAAUGAGCCGAUGUCGGAUUAGCUAGUUGGCGGGGUAAAGGCCCACCAAGGCGACGAUCCGUAGCUGGUCUGAGAGGAUGAUCAGCCACACUGGAACUGAGACACGGUCCAGACUCCUACGGGAGGCAGCAGUGGGGAAUAUUGGCCAAUGGGCGCAAGCCUGAUCCAGCCAUACCGCGUGGGUGAAGAAGGCCUUCGGGUUGUAAAGCCCUUUUGUUGGGAAAGAAAAGCAGCAGGUUAAUACCCCGCUGUUCUGACGGUACCCAAAGAAUAAGCACCGGCUAACUUCGUG